CCCAGUCUCCAUCAUAGCAUCCAUCAGUAGAUGUUAAUCUUCCACGGUGUCCUUCAGUAGACACCAAUCUUUCUUAUCUUCAUUGGCACCCAUCAGUAGAUGCCUAAUCACCCAACAUCCAUCAGUAGAUGUCUAGUUACCAUCCUCUUCCAUAGUAGCAUCCAUCAAUAGAUGUUAUCUCAACCUCUUCCAGCAUCCAUCAAUAGAUGCGACUCUUUCUCAUCAACAUCUUUCAUUAGAUGUUAAUUUUUCUCUUCUUCAUCAGUAUCCAUCAGUAGACGCUGUCAGUACUGCCAUCAGAAGCAGCGCAUAACCUAAAAAAAAACUUAAACACACAAAAACAAAAUCAAAUCCAAACCACACAAAUAAUAAAAUAAAAAAAUUAAAAUAGAAUAAAAUAAGAUAAAUAAAAUCAC
Molecule: long non-coding RNA, 416 nt
Filed under: Vigna radiata
Lineage: Eukaryota; Viridiplantae; Streptophyta; Magnoliopsida; Fabales; Fabaceae
Description: long non-coding RNA (VRAD_LNC006561)
Source: RNAcentral